GCAUGCGUGUUUAUAUACAUAGUUACCUUGCAUCUGAUUCUCUACGAAAGGAAAUUUUGUGCGAUUAGCGAUUCGGUUAGAAAGAAUUCAACAAAAAUGUGGUACGAAAUAAUUCCAUCGAUGAUAAUAAUAGGUUUGAUACCAGUCGUUCCUCAUUAUUUAAGUGUUUAUAUAAAUCAAUAUUCCCUAGGAAACCCAAUGCGUAGAGACAUGCGAGAUAUAUGGGACCGACAUAUGUUUACAAGAGAUGCUCGCAUAGAUGGAGCGCCAUGGUACAACAGGGGGCUAGAGAAUGUUCCUGAUGAUUAAAAAGUACAAAUAAUAUAUUUCAAAAUAGAAAUGCAGCGACAGUUACAUGAUACAUAGAUAUGAGAUAUAUAUGACAAAGUGUCAUUCAAUUGUAAAUUAUAUAAUAAUUAAUGAUAGAAAAAUAUAUCAUAUUACCUUGAA
Molecule: non-coding RNA, 450 nt
Organism: Linepithema humile (Argentine ant)
Lineage: Eukaryota; Metazoa; Arthropoda; Insecta; Hymenoptera; Formicidae
Source: RefSeq, a predicted model, not a curated record